RNAcentral lists this ribosomal RNA (137 nucleotides) under Cercocebus atys (sooty mangabey). Lineage: Eukaryota; Metazoa; Chordata; Mammalia; Primates; Cercopithecidae. The record is from RNAcentral.
CUCCCUACCACCCCGAACACCUGAACACACCCAAUCUCGUCUGAUCUCAGAAGCUAAGCAGGGUCCGGGCCUGGUUAGUACUUGGAUUGGAGAUAUGAGUUGCAUGCAUCUUUACUCACUGUGAGAGUUGGAAGAGU